AAUAGAUACCCGGGUAGUCCACGUCUGUAAACGAUGACGAGCUAGUUGUCGGCAUGCAUGCAUGUCGGUGACGCAGCUAACGCAUUAAGCUCUCCGCCUGGGGAGUACGGUCGCAAGAUUAAAACUCAAAGAAAUUGACGGGGGCCCGCACAAGCGGUGGAGCAUGUGGUUUAAUUUGAAGCAACGCGCAGAACCUUACCCACGUUUGACAUGUCCAGUUUGGUCGGCAGAGAUGCCUUCCUUCAGUUCGGCUGGCUGGAACACAGGUGCUGCAUGGCUGUCGUCAGCUCGUGUCGUGAGAUGUUGGGUUAAGUCCCGCAACGAGCGCAACCCUCGCUACUAGUUGCCAGCAGGUUAAGCUGGGCACUCUAGUGGAACUGCCGGUGGCAAGCCGGAGGAAGGUGGGGAUGACGUCAAGUCCUCAUGGCCCUUACGCGUGGGGGCUACACACGUGCUACAAUGGUGGUGACAGAGGGAUAAUCCCUAAAAGCCAUCUCAGUUCGGAUUGUCCUC
Molecule: ribosomal RNA, 513 nt
Filed under: uncultured bacterium
Lineage: Bacteria
Description: bacterial SSU rRNA
Rfam family: Bacterial small subunit ribosomal RNA
Source: RNAcentral